GACGAACGCUGGCGGCGUGCUUAACACAUGCAAGUCGAACGGAAAGGCCCUGCUUGCAGGGUACUCGAGUGGCGAACGGGUGAGUAACACGUGGGUGAUCUGCCCUGCACUUCGGGAUAAGCUUGGGAAACUGGGUCUAAUACCGGAUAGGACCGCACUUUAGUGUGUGUGGUGGAAAGUUUUUUCGGUGUAGGAUGAGCUCGCGGCCUAUCAGCUUGUUGGUGGGGUAAUGGCCUACCAAGGCGGCGACGGGUAGCCGGCCUGAGAGGGUGUACGGCCACAUUGGGACUGAGAUACGGCCCAGACUCCUACGGGAGGCAGCAGUGGGGAAUAUUGCACAAUGGGCGCAAGCCUGGUGCAGCGACGCCGCGUGGGGGAUGAAGGCCUUCGGGUUGUAAACUCCUUUCGCUAGGGACGAAGCUUUUUGUGACGGUACCUAGAUAAGAAGCACCGGCUAACUACGUG
RNAcentral lists this ribosomal RNA (465 nucleotides) under uncultured bacterium. RNAcentral's name for it is "partial 16S ribosomal RNA". It matches the Rfam family "Bacterial small subunit ribosomal RNA", at positions 28 to 507 of the family's 1533-position model. The record is from RNAcentral.